RNAcentral lists this unclassified non-coding RNA (314 nucleotides) under plant metagenome. RNAcentral describes it as "partial contains 5.8S ribosomal RNA, internal transcribed spacer 2, and large subunit ribosomal RNA". The stretch from base 1 to 105 matches the Rfam family "5.8S ribosomal RNA", at positions 50 to 154 of the family's 154-position model. The record is from RNAcentral.
GAAAUGCGAUAAUUAAUGUGAAUUGCAGAAUUCAGUGAAUCAUCGAGUCUUUGAAUGCACAUUGCGCCCCCUGGUAUUCCGGGGGGCAUGCCUGUCCGAGCGUCAUUGCUGCCCUCAAGCACGGCUUGUGUGUUGGGCUUCCGUCCCUGGCAACGGGGACGGGCCCAAAAGGCAGUGGCGGCACCAUGUCUGGUCCUCGAGCGUAUGGGGCUUUGUCACCCGCUCCCGUAGGUCCAGAUGGCAGCUAGCCUCGCAACCAAUCUUUUUAACCAGGUUGACCUCGGAUCAGGUAGGGAUACCCGCUGAACUUAAGC